Long non-coding RNA from Chiroxiphia lanceolata (lance-tailed manakin), 1025 nucleotides. RefSeq lists it as uncharacterized. NCBI's taxonomy places the organism in Eukaryota, Metazoa, Chordata, Aves, Passeriformes, Pipridae. The record is from RefSeq and is a predicted model, not a curated record. The transcript has 4 exons.
GCGCAGGGGAGGUUGUUCUCACAGCUGCUGCGGAGCAAAUGUGCCACGGCCACGCCAUUUCGAGCCACGCUACAGCAAGUGUGGUGGCCAAGACAGGUCUCCCCAGGUCUUCAUCCCUUCAGCUGAAGGCAGGACACUGCCAAGGCCAACAGGGGCCUCAGCCUCCAGAGAGACUGGGUCAGGGCCGGAGGAGGAGGAGGAAAGCCUCUUUGCAGGUGACAAGGCCACAUGCAUGCCAGAGCCUUGGAGCCCCGGCUGCCCUACAAAGGUCUGGCCCAGCCUUCCCUUCGGAAGCACCCAGGACACAUGACAUGGCAAUGGCAGCAUCUCCCCAGGCAUGUUCCCCAGCCCCCACCCACGGGACCAGGUUGAAAACUCUAGACUUGAAAGCUGUCCAAGACGACGAAAGAUCUGUAUGACUAACUAGAGAGUCUCAUCUUGCAAUAAUGUGCCUUUUGUUGCUGAAGUCUUUCCAACCACAAGUUCAGAAAAGACUGUUUCUACCUGAAAUCUACUCAUUUAAUGGAACAACUGUGGAAGCAGCAUCCCUGGAGAGUGUGACAGCCACAAAAUAAUUAUCUCCCUCACCAGAGACUAAAGCCAUUGAGGAUGCAGAGAUUCCCGACUGGGGUUGGAGGGAAGCUCUCAAGAGGGAGUAAUCAGCUGCUGCUGCACUCUAUCCAAUGCACAUCUUUCCAUGGACGUUUAGAGGAUUUAAAGGUCACCCCCAAACUGUCAGUUCAGCGGGACAAACAUUCAAAACCUUAAGCACUCUAACAAGUGAAUCUGAUGCAAAUGGACAGAACCAUAGUAAAGGAGGCUGGAAAAGAUCCUGAGAGGUCAUUUAGUUUAUCCGCUGUUAUUUCAAGUACCCUGGACUUCAAAGAGAAAUCCUCCAUACCAUACCUAGGACUAACAGCAUACUUUGGGGAGCUGUUUUGUAGUGGCUGACAAUAGAUAAUAACUUGUUUUAGGUGAGUUGCAAGUUGUCUGUAGUGUGACUAUGAGCACAGCAGUCAGAAAUA